This 496-nucleotide ribosomal RNA is filed under the name uncultured bacterium. RNAcentral describes it as "partial 16S ribosomal RNA". It matches the Rfam family "Bacterial small subunit ribosomal RNA", at positions 28 to 506 of the family's 1533-position model. The record is from RNAcentral.
GAUGAACGCUGGCGGCGUGCCUAAUACAUGCAAGUCGAACGCAUAGCGAAAGGUGCUUGCACCUUUCAAGUGAGUGGCGAACGGGUGAGUAACACGUGGACAACCUGCCUCAAGGCUGGGGAUAACAUUUGGAAACAGAUGCUAAUACCGAAUAAAACUUAGUGUCGCAUGACACAAAGUUAAAAGGCGCUUCGGCGUCACCUAGAGAUGGAUCCGCGGUGCAUUAGUUAGUUGGUGGGGUAAAGGCCUACCAAGACAAUGAUGCAUAGCCGAGUUGAGAGACUGAACGGCCACGUUGGGAAUGAGAAACGGCCCAAACACCUACGAGAGGCAGGUGUAGGCAAUGUUCCACAAUGGGCGAAACGUUGAUGGAGCAACGGCGCGUGUGGAAUAAAGGCUUCGGGAUCGUAAAGGACUGUUUUAUGGGAAAAACAGUAAGAAAAGGAAAUGUUUUUAUUUGGGCGGGACCACACGAGAAAGGGCGGGUUAAACACGU